GCGCUUGCUUUGGUAGCACAUAUGCUAAAAUUGGAAAGAUACAGAGAAGAUUAGCAUGACCCCUGUGCAAGGAUGACAUGCAAAUCUGUGAAGUGUUCCACAUUUUU
Small nuclear RNA from Saimiri boliviensis boliviensis (Bolivian squirrel monkey), 107 nucleotides. The record is from Ensembl. Lineage: Eukaryota; Metazoa; Chordata; Mammalia; Primates; Cebidae.